UACGUAGGGGGCUAGCGUUGUCCGGAUUUAUUGGGCGUAAAGAGCGUGUAGGCGGCCAGGUAGGUCCGUUGUGAAAACUCGAGGCUCAACCUCGAGACGUCGGCGGAAACCCUCUGGCUAGAGUCCGGAAGAGGAGAGUGGAAUUCCUGGUGUAGCGGUGAAAUGCGCAGAUAUCGGGAAGAACACCCGUGGCGAAGGCGGUUCUCUGGGACGGUACUGACGCUGAGACGCGAAAGCGUGGGGAGCGAACAGG
RNAcentral lists this ribosomal RNA (253 nucleotides) under uncultured bacterium. RNAcentral describes it as "partial 16S ribosomal RNA". It matches the Rfam family "Bacterial small subunit ribosomal RNA", at positions 524 to 776 of the family's 1533-position model. The record is from RNAcentral.